Molecule: long non-coding RNA, 636 nt
Filed under: Danio rerio (zebrafish)
Lineage: Eukaryota; Metazoa; Chordata; Actinopteri; Cypriniformes; Danionidae
Description: si:ch73-4i5.5 (ENSDARG00000102104.2)
Source: RNAcentral
GUCCUCUCUUCUUGGCUUUGGAGGAGACUUUGUUUGGGUCGGCCUGCAGCAUGCGUCCGUACUCCUCACAGUGCUCUUUAUCCUCCGCCCAGGCGUAUCCCUCCCUCAGAGACCAGUCCACACCCAUCUCCAACGCCUCCUCCAGGAAUGACGCCCUUGGAGCCGACUCCGACAGGGAUGUGGUCGAAGAGAGACUGUGCCAGCUGCUCCUUCACCGGCUGAACGUCGCCCUCAUCCAGGUUUGUGCGCAGCAGACGAACACCACAGUUAAUAUCGAAACCCACACCGCCUGAACACACACACACACACACACACACACACACACGGAUAUUUAAUGAUGAAAUAUCUCAGGAUAACGAACAAGCACAUUAUUAGCACAUACCUGGAGAGACGACUGCGUCCGGAUUCUCCAUGUCGAACGCUGCCAUGUUCCCGAUAGCGAAUCCGUAUCCUGAGUGAACGUCCGGUAAACCGAUCGACCGCUGCAAAAACACUCAGAGUGAGAACUGAGCAUAGGUGCAUGAUGAGCUGAUCAGGACUGUGUGUUUAACUCACGUGCACGAUUCCUGGCAGAGCGGCCACAUUCCCAAUCUGCUUCAUCGCAGGUAAGAAACCUCCAAACCCUGUGCAAACACC